GACGAACGCUGGCGGCGUGCCUAAUACAUGCAAGUCGAGCGAAGUGGUCCUGGUGCUGGUACUAGAAAAACUAAGCGGCGAACGGGUGAGUAACACGUUAAGAACCUGCCUCAUAGACUGGGACAACUAUUGGAAACGAUAGCUAAUACCGGAUAACAGCAUUAUUUGCAUGGUUGAUGUUUAAAAGUUUGUUUUGCUAACACUAUGAGAUGGCUUUGCGGGGCAUUAGAUAGUUGGUGGGGUAAUGGCCUACCAAGGCGACGUUGCAUAGCCGACCUCAGAGGGGGAUCGGCCACACUGGGACUGAGACACGGCCCAGACUCCUAGGGGAGGCAGCAGUAGGGAAUCUUCCGCAAUGGGCGGAAGCCUGACGGAGCAACGCCGCGUGAGUGAAGAAGGACUUCGUUUCGUAAAACUCUGUUGUUAGUGAAGAAUGAUUGUAUAGUAACUAUACACAGUAGAGACGGUACCUAACCAGGAAGCCACGGCUAACUACGUG
This 499-nucleotide ribosomal RNA is filed under the name uncultured bacterium. Its description in RNAcentral is "partial 16S ribosomal RNA". It matches the Rfam family "Bacterial small subunit ribosomal RNA", at positions 28 to 507 of the family's 1533-position model. The record is from RNAcentral.